Molecule: transfer RNA, 74 nt
Filed under: Plecotus auritus (brown big-eared bat)
Lineage: Eukaryota; Metazoa; Chordata; Mammalia; Chiroptera; Vespertilionidae
Description: tRNA-Gln
Rfam family: tRNA
About the family: Transfer RNA (tRNA) molecules are approximately 80 nucleotides in length. Their secondary structure includes four short double-helical elements and three loops (D, anti-codon, and T loops).
Source: RNAcentral
UAGAGUUUGGUGUGAGAUAGGUUGCACGAAGAAUUUUGAAUUCUUAGGGGUAGGUUCAAUUCCUAUAAUUCUAG